GACAGAGGGUGCGAACGUUGUUCGGAAUUACUGGGCGUAAAGCGCAUGUAGGCGGCAGCGCAAGUCGGGCGUGAAAUCCCACGGCUCAACCGUGGAAGUGCACUCGAAACUGCGCAGCUAGAGUCCUGGAGAGGAAGGUGGAAUGCUUGGUGUAGAGGUGAAAUUCGUAGAUAUCAGGCGGAACACCGGUGGCGAAGGCGGCCUUCUGGACAGUGACUGACGCUGAGACGCGAAAGCGUGGGGAGCAAACAGG
Molecule: ribosomal RNA, 253 nt
Filed under: uncultured bacterium
Lineage: Bacteria
Description: partial 16S ribosomal RNA
Rfam family: Bacterial small subunit ribosomal RNA
Source: RNAcentral